GUAAACAUAACCGAACGUAUUUUAAAUAGCGCUUUGUAUUAUUUUAUUGGUUCAAUUAAAGCAAACGCGCCGCGUCGUGAUAAGAGCCAGCGGGUUGGCUUUGGGAUGCAUACAGCUACGAAUAAGCGGCGGGGUCUUUAGCAUAUGGAAGAGCAAACGCGUUUGGUGUGUCAACAACAACAUCUUGCUGUUGAUACCAACAUCAGUGUCACCGCUCAUCUGGGUAAGGGACAGACAACUCGAAAUCUCGCUCACACCAAGAAUGUAAAUAUUUACGCUCUCUUUAACCACCUCGACACGAAAAUGCAUUCCCUGCAACCCGAGAAGUUCAGUGCAAGCGAAUAUCUGUUCUGGCGGUCGACUUGCUAUUAUCACAUUUAGAGUGCAUUGACACCAAUUGUCAAUGUGGAAGAUCGGCUAUUGAAUGAUUUCUUUUGUCUCAAUUGUUUCAGAGAAUUCUGAUUGUGAUCUUGCACUUGUUUUCAAUGUUGGCAUGGCGCCCCCAAAUAUAUACGUGUACAUACGCGUUUUUA
Drosophila virilis is the source of this 533-nucleotide long non-coding RNA. RefSeq lists it as uncharacterized. NCBI's taxonomy places the organism in Eukaryota, Metazoa, Arthropoda, Insecta, Diptera, Drosophilidae. The record is from RefSeq and is a predicted model, not a curated record.